This is a long non-coding RNA of Monopterus albus (swamp eel), 398 nucleotides long. RefSeq lists it as uncharacterized. Lineage: Eukaryota; Metazoa; Chordata; Actinopteri; Synbranchiformes; Synbranchidae. The transcript is spliced from 4 exons. The record is from RefSeq and is a predicted model, not a curated record.
CCUUAUAAUCGCCUCACCUUGCAGAAUUGGAGUUGUUGGUUUGGUCACGUCUUGUGCUUCAUCCUUGAUUUUGAGUUCAGGCUUGGUUUUCCUCUGUUAUUGGUGAGUGAAGCUUCCUACAGAGGGUAAAUAUAGUGUCUUGGCUUCUGCUAUAGCUCCAAGUGAAAUCACAAGAUGGCCUUAGGUCUGUAUUUCAUGUUGCUUCUCUCUUUGGCCAGUGGACUAUGGGCUCAUGGUGUUGGAGAAACAAGACCAUCUGACGGUUGGUACUUCCUAGAACUGUGGUGGCUUAGAACAUAGUACCACUGUGUAAUAUUUGUCCACAAACAGAGCUCAUGUGUUUGAUAGUACCCAGUCAAUACAUCGGUACCAGGCUGACAAAAGGUUCAGCUGAUCUG